This is a non-coding RNA of Trichechus manatus latirostris (Florida manatee), 140 nucleotides long. RefSeq annotates it as small Cajal body-specific RNA 11. The transcript has a single exon. The record is from RefSeq and is a predicted model, not a curated record. NCBI's taxonomy places the organism in Eukaryota, Metazoa, Chordata, Mammalia, Sirenia, Trichechidae.
UUAUCCUGGCCCAUGCUUUCCCUGGACCCCUGUGCUUAGCUCUGACAGGGUGUGUGUGGCAGGAUGCACAGCAGUCUCCUCUCAGUUUAGGAGGGGCAUCGCAAGUAUAGGGCCAACUAUUAAAGGCAUGAGAGGACAAU